GACGAACGCUGGCGGCGUGCUUAACACAUGCCAGUCGAACGGAAAGGCCUUUUCGGAGGUACUCGAGUGGCGAACGGGUGCGUAACACGUGGGUGAUCUGCCCUGCACUCUGGGAUAAGCCUGGGAAACUGGGUCUAAUACCGGAUAGGACCGCACUUUAGUGUGUGUGGUGGAAAGUUUUUUCGGUGUAGGAUGAGCCCGCGGCCUAUCAGCUUGUUGGUGGGGUAAUGGCCUACCAAGGCGGCGACGGGUAGCCGGACUGUGAGGUUGGUCGGCCACAUUGGGACUGAGAGACGGCCCAGACUCCGACGGGAGGCAGCAGUGGGGAAUAUUGCACAAUGGGCGCAAGCCUGAUGCAGCGACGCCGCGUGGGGGAUGACGGCCUUCGGGUUGUAAACUCCUUUCGCCAGGGACGAAGCGUUUUGUGACGGUACCUGGAGAAGAAGCACCGGCUAACUACGUG
This 463-nucleotide ribosomal RNA is filed under the name uncultured bacterium. RNAcentral describes it as "partial 16S ribosomal RNA". It matches the Rfam family "Bacterial small subunit ribosomal RNA", at positions 28 to 507 of the family's 1533-position model. The record is from RNAcentral.